GCUCAAGAUGAAACAUCAGCAGGUCAUGUUAGACCUGCAGAAGUUUGAGAAUGAGAGUUUGGAGGCCUCACAGAAGCUCAGUGAGCUGACCAAAGAGAAAGUCUUCCUUUGUGAUCUGCAGAGCCGGCUCCUGAUGGAGCAGAGUCAGCUCAAAAAGAAAUUGGAUAUGCUGAGGCAACAGAAGGAGAACCUACUGGAGGAUUGAGUCAUGCUGAAGCACCACUUGGGUGACUUGCAAGUGCUCAGUAAGGAUCAAGAAGAGAUCAGUGACCUCCAGAACCAGCAACAGCAGGAGCAGCAAAGAAUGGAAGAGAGACUCCAGAGCUUGCUGAAGCAAAGGGAGCUGGUCACACAGCAAAAACACUUGGCAAUAAAGCUGCAGCAUCAUUUGACUGUCUCCCAGAUGAGCACCCUCUAUGAGAACUGAGGAGGCCGAAGGAAUCCAUAGUCAACUAGAAACCAUGACAUUCUCCACUCUAUGAUCAAGGCCUCCUCAGAACAAGACAUGUACUACUAGUUGUGAAAUCACCAGUGAGGCAAAUAUCAUCUGCCCUGUGUCUGAUCCAUGUCUGUUGA
Peromyscus eremicus (cactus mouse) is the source of this 576-nucleotide long non-coding RNA. RefSeq lists it as uncharacterized. The transcript is spliced from 4 exons. The record is from RefSeq and is a predicted model, not a curated record. NCBI's taxonomy places the organism in Eukaryota, Metazoa, Chordata, Mammalia, Rodentia, Cricetidae.